UACAGAGGGUGCAAGCGUUAAUCGGAAUUACUGGGCGUAAAGCGUGCGUAGGCGGAUAGCUAAGUCGAUUGUGAAAGCCCCGGGCUUAACCUGGGAACUGCAGUCGAUACUGGUUAUCUAGAGUAUGGUAGAGGAAAGUGGAAUUCCCGGUGUAGCGGUGAAAUGCGUAGAUAUCGGGAGGAACAUCAGUGGCGAAGGCGGCUUUCUGGACCAAUACUGACGCUGAGGUACGAAAGCGUGGGGAGCAAACAGG
Molecule: ribosomal RNA, 253 nt
Filed under: uncultured bacterium
Lineage: Bacteria
Description: partial 16S ribosomal RNA
Rfam family: Bacterial small subunit ribosomal RNA
Source: RNAcentral